UAGGGAAUCUUCCACAAUGGACGAAAGUCUGAUGGAGCAACGCCGCGUGAGUGAAGAAGGGUUUUCGGCUCGUAAAACUCUGUUGUUAAAGAAGAACAUAUCUGAGAGUAACUGUUCAGGUAUUGACGGUAUUUAACCAGAAAGCCACGGCUAACUACGUGGCAG
This 165-nucleotide ribosomal RNA is filed under the name uncultured bacterium. RNAcentral describes it as "partial 16S ribosomal RNA". It matches the Rfam family "Bacterial small subunit ribosomal RNA", at positions 355 to 511 of the family's 1533-position model. The record is from RNAcentral.